GGGCGGUUAGCUCAGUUGGUUAGAGCGUCUGCUUUACACGCAGAAGGUCGAGGGUUCGAGUCCCUCACCGCCUAC
RNAcentral lists this transfer RNA (75 nucleotides) under Alienimonas californiensis. RNAcentral describes it as "Planctomycetes bacterium CA12 tRNA-Val". It matches the Rfam family "tRNA". Rfam says of the family: Transfer RNA (tRNA) molecules are approximately 80 nucleotides in length. Their secondary structure includes four short double-helical elements and three loops (D, anti-codon, and T loops). Further hydrogen bonds mediate the characteristic L-shaped molecular structure. tRNAs have two regions of fundamental functional importance: the anti-codon, which is responsible for specific mRNA codon recognition, and the 3' end, to which the tRNAs corresponding amino acid is attached (by aminoacyl-tRNA synthetases). tRNAs cope with the degeneracy of the genetic code in two manners: having more than one tRNA (with a specific anti-codon) for a particular amino acid; and 'wobble' base-pairing, i.e. permitting non-standard base-pairing at the 3rd anti-codon position. The record is from RNAcentral. Lineage: Bacteria; Pseudomonadati; Planctomycetota; Planctomycetia; Planctomycetales; Planctomycetaceae.